GUGUAUAGCCAUGCAUCCUCAAGCAAGCAGCCACUUUUGUCUGUUCUUGAAAGCAGAGCAGAAUCAGGUCUAGUUAGUACUUGGAUAGAAGGCUGUCUGGAAAUACCAGAUGCUGUAGACC
This 121-nucleotide ribosomal RNA is filed under the name Jaculus jaculus (lesser Egyptian jerboa). Lineage: Eukaryota; Metazoa; Chordata; Mammalia; Rodentia; Dipodidae. The record is from RNAcentral.